GACGAACGCUGGCGGCGUGCUUAACACAUGCAAGUCGAACGGAAAGGCCCUGCUUUUGUGGGGUGCUCGAGUGGCGAACGGGUGAGUAACACGUGAGUAACCUGCCCUUGACUUUGGGAUAACUUCAGGAAACUGGGUCUAAUACCGGAUAGGAGCUCCUGCUGCAUGGUGGGGGUUGGAAAGUUUCGGCGGUUGGGGAUCGACUCGCGGCUUAUCAGCUUGUUGGUGGGGUAGUGGCUUACCAAGGCUUUGACGGGUAGCCGGCCUGAGAGGGUGACCGGCCACAUUGGGACUGAGAUACGGCCCAGACUCCUACGGGAGGCAGCAGUGGGGAAUAUUACACAAUGGGCGGAAGCCUGAUGCAGCAACGCCGCGUGCGGGAUGACGGCCUUCGGGUUGUAAACCGCUUUCGCCUGUGACGAAGCGUGAGUGACGGUAAUGGGUAAAGAAGCACCGGCUAACUACGUG
Molecule: ribosomal RNA, 468 nt
Filed under: uncultured bacterium
Lineage: Bacteria
Description: partial 16S ribosomal RNA
Rfam family: Bacterial small subunit ribosomal RNA
Source: RNAcentral